GAUUCCGUCCAGGCGGCCAAUCUAAGGCGCCCGUACAACCUUCCGGCCAAUGGGGCCUCCGCUCUUAUCGCGAAGUCCCUUCAACGCCCUGUUUCCUCUCUCGGGUUUCCUCCCUCCCCCGCCUAGGAGGGGGAAAGAGGAAAGGGGGAGUGUGGCGGGGCGGGUGAUAAUGGGGAGGUAUCAGGGCAAAUAAUAGAGCAGGGGGUGGGCGAAGAGAGCGCCAGUGCGUAGCGACGAUUCUGGGAGAGGAGGUGCUCGGAGGAAAGGGCGGGGGUUGCUGAUGUAAUGGGGAGAAGUGAUUAAUCCUUCGGUUCGCCGUUUCAGCUUCCCCCCUACCCCAACCUUCACCCGAUUUUUUUGAGCUGAAAAAAAAGUGGAACGAGGGAGCCAAUCUUUGGUAACUCGGGUUUUCUGUGGUAGGUGGGUUCAAAAUCUGAGCUGUAGGGAGCGCUAGAGAUUUCGUGCCCUUUAGCCAAGCUGAGGGUAUUUGCAAACCCUGAAGAUUUCCGUCUCCGAGCUUUGGGCUUGGUCCCACAAACUGCAAGGAAAAGAAAAACCCUCAACAGGAAUUACCUUUAUACCUGAUGCCCCCAACAUAAUCUCUCUCCAAGGGAAACGUGUUUUUAUUGCCUUGCGGCUGAAAAUGUAUUCUCGAUUCUCCCCCUUCUCUCUUUUGUUGUGCAUUUUUUGGAUGUGGUAAAACUGGCAGUUUAUCUGAUUAUCUGGUUUUCAGAACUUUGGGCGAUGUCUCUGAGUGUCAUCAGUUGCUCUCUAGGUUUGACAUAGAUAAUUAAGCAACUACAAAGCGUGAUAAAGCUUUUGAGAGGGAGGAAAAUGUAUUUUGGAAGGAGGGAGAGACGCAAAGAGGCGAGCCUGUGUGUUGAGUCCCAGACUUGGUGUGUGACUACAGGCAAAGUACUUCACCUUUCUAGAUGUCAGCCCCGCCCCCCUCACCUCCCAAGUUUAAAUAAGAACUUAUUUUAGACUACAUGAUCCUGUUUUCAAUUUUUAAGAGUUCUGUGAUUUUGAGAUGAUCUCUCUUUAGUCCAGAAAAAUAGAGAAACGUAGGUCUAUGUUUGUUUCUCAAAAAAAUAUUUGAGGAGGACAGCUGUUACAAAACAGCUGGAGAACUCCAAAUUUUUAUGGUGGUUAGCUAGGUGCAAAUGGGUACAAUUUUAGGUUUGUUCAAAUAAACAUAGGGGAAAAGUAAAAGUACAGGAAAAUUACGUUAUACAUAUAAGUGUGUCCAUCAUUUCUGAUUUUUCUAAAAAUUUACUUUUUUAUUUGACAAGUACUUUUUGGCUCCUUCCGUGUAUGCAUUAAUAUGUAUAUAAGGUGUUAUGGGAAAUACUAAUAAAAGGAAAAUAUUGGGCAUAAA
RNAcentral lists this long non-coding RNA (1378 nucleotides) under Homo sapiens (human). Its description in RNAcentral is "HSALNT0302385". Lineage: Eukaryota; Metazoa; Chordata; Mammalia; Primates; Hominidae. The record is from RNAcentral.